Molecule: transfer RNA, 67 nt
Filed under: Syphrea sp. REN-2018
Lineage: Eukaryota; Metazoa; Arthropoda; Insecta; Coleoptera; Chrysomelidae
Description: tRNA-Thr
Source: RNAcentral
GUUUUAAUAAUUUAAGUAAAAAAUAAUGACCUUGUAAGUCAUUUAUAAGAAAAUUUCUUUUAAAACU